AGCUAUUGAGGUAGAAAAGGUUCUCUACACGCAACUUCGGUUGUUAUCAGAGAUGAGGGGUUGACCGUCCUUCCAAUAGCA
This 81-nucleotide non-coding RNA is filed under the name unclassified sequences. RNAcentral describes it as "skipping-rope RNA". It matches the Rfam family "skipping-rope RNA". From Rfam's summary of the family: Firmicutes, Fusobacteria, AlphaProteobacteria, Spirochaetes. Downstream gene The record is from Rfam by way of RNAcentral.